CUUUUGUCUUUUCUCUAAACCUUAGUCUAGCAUUUGUUUAUUUGAAAUCCUCCUUUUUCUUCUUUAUUGUAUUACUAGGAUAGGCCCGUCCUACGGGCGGGAUAUAAUUUACUUGUGAUCUAGAUUUUAAUUUUUUGUACGAUUCGUGGUUUGUGUUUUAGGUUUGCAUUUGUAAGAAAUAUGUAUUAAAAUGAUUGUUGUCUAAUAGAAAAUUUUAAGUGACGAAAAAUAUUAUAUUCAUUUUACUUAAAGUUUGAUGUUUGCUUCUUUUUGUAACUUGUUUUUGUUCUUUUAUUUGUUGUCAAAUAUAUUUUAUGACAUUAUACUGUUUUAGGUAUUGUUUUUCUUUCUUGUUAUGUUUUUUUAUAAUGAGAAUACAUUUUUAUGUCAUCUUCGCAAAUCUCUAACUAAAAUUCAUUAUUUUUUAUUAUUCUUUUUAGAGAUUAUAAAGUUGUAUGACACGAAUUUCAUGAUUGAAAUGAUAUAUAUUUUCUUAAGGUUUCCUCAAUUUUUUUAUAUAUAGUAAGUAAAUUGAAGUUUGUAUUGUUGUUGUUAGGUUUAAUACUCCAAAUAUUGAUUAUUUUAUAUUUUGUAUACAUUGAAUGUACUUGUGUUUUUAUAAAAUAUUAUUAUUCAGUUUUGUAUAUAAUCGGUGGCUUUUUUACUUAUUCUAUUACCUCUUAUAUUGUUUUUAUUUGUUAUACCGAAUAAUUUAUUAUUUUAUUUUAGAAUUUUACUAUAUAUCUAAUAACAUAAAGUAGAGAGGGACUCUCUUCUCCUGCGCCAGCUCAAGAAAUAGAGACAGGAUGUUGCGACACGUGUCCAAUCAGUGAAACUCAGUGCGUCGUUUAAGUCGUUGUCUAUGGGUUCCAUUGUUUUGUUGGGCUUUACAGCAUGCAGCCCAUCACGUGUUUUAGAACAUAAUGGUAACUAAACGCCCCGUUUUGGAUUAGGUGUACGCAUAAUGGUUUACGCUUAUCGCGUCUCCAGAUCGAAAGGUGACACCCCUUGCGCAGCUGACGUUCCGUCUCCUUCGUUGCAAGCACUCAAAAACCGAUCAAUCAAUCAUCUUUAAUCCCCCCCCCAUUAAUCUAUCACCCACGAUCUGGAUUCAAUGUGAUAUUGUUGAUGUGCAAGGCGUUCGAGUCGACUAUAAAAAAGCCGGUGGCUCCUCUUCCACCGUCGAAGUGUGCUUGCUCCGCUUCUGGGAGGCCAGAAACGUCCGCCGUGGUGGAGAACUCAUGGGCGUCGACAUGCUCUUGCUUCACUCUCAGGCUGGAGGUGUUGGCAAGACAUACAUAUUCCAGCUCAGCGUGACCAGUUUCAUUACACUGCAGAGCGUCAGACCUUCACAGUCUUACGCAUCUUCAACGAGUCCCUGAUAUGUUAGUUUGUAACUCACUUGAUAUUCUGUCAAAAUAACAAUGUGUGUCUUGGUGUUAUCAGGGAGACAACGGUGGUCUUGGAGAUGAUAUGAACACUGGAAGCUCAACUUAAGUUGAAUCUAAAACUCUUCCGAGGCUGCUGCAACGGAUCUAGAUCAGCUGCAGUCAACGUGUUCAUCCUACGUUAUCAUAUCGUCUGGGUUUUUGAGCAUUCCUUACUGCAGAUUCAUCACCGUCAAAGCCGUUUUUACCAAUUUUGCAGCGAGGCGACUUUACCAGAAUGGAUUUGGCUUGGCGGAAGUUGUGUGUAUGAUGAGCAGUGCUGCAUAUCAAGCUAAGAAGAGAAGCAACAAUGUACAAUUAGCGGAAGAGACUGUAGCUCACCGCCAAGCCCAUGCUUUGAAGCGUGUAUGAAUUGGCAAUCAGAAUACUGCUGGGAUCUCUACUGAUGAUGAAGACUUAUGAGAUUGAAGCUUUUAGUCAGGACAGAAAGAGAUGGAGGAUACUUUAAUGCUGAUGGGAACUUUGUAGAAUAUGUUAGAGACAAGGAAGUCAAGGUGCAGAUCAAACAUUGGUUUAAUGUUUGAGGAAAAUGAUCAAGGUCAAACGUUGGUUUAACGUUCUAGGAACGUGAGCAAGAUCAAAUGCAAAAUUUGAAAAAGAGUCAGCAAUUGCAAGUAUGGUAAAGGGCACACAGCUUCAAGACGUCAUCAGUUAAUGUAUAUACAAAUAUACAAUAGUUAGAAGGUCAUUUGUAUUGUUAUCCAUUGGUCGCUUACAAUGACGUUGUGAGUCAAAAACGCAUAGGACAUGCCAACAUUUGAAUAAAAAGGGAUAUGCUGAGAGUAUUAGAAAGUUGAGUGCUUUAUAAACUAGGGAUUAACCCGGGCUACGCCCGGGAUUUUUAUAUUUUUCUAAUUUAAGUUGUUAAAUUAUUUAUAUUUAGGUUAUGAUAUAUAUUUAUAUAAAUGUUAAGAUGUAUGUCAUAAUUAAAAUUUAUUUUUAAA
Long non-coding RNA from Brassica napus (rape), 2392 nucleotides. RefSeq lists it as uncharacterized. The transcript is spliced from 6 exons. The record is from RefSeq and is a predicted model, not a curated record. Lineage: Eukaryota; Viridiplantae; Streptophyta; Magnoliopsida; Brassicales; Brassicaceae.